This 85-nucleotide microRNA precursor is filed under the name Vigna radiata var. radiata (mung bean). RNAcentral describes it as "MIR862_2 microRNA precursor family". It matches the Rfam family "MIR862_2 microRNA precursor family". The record is from Rfam by way of RNAcentral. Lineage: Eukaryota; Viridiplantae; Streptophyta; Magnoliopsida; Fabales; Fabaceae.
AUUUUUCGUGUACCCUCAAAGGCUUCCAGUAUUCAGUAAGCUAAGAUACUUGAAUGCUGGAGGCUUUUGAAGGAAUUUGAAACCU